GACGAACGCUGGCGGCGUGCCUAAUACAUGCAAGUAGAACGCACAGUUUAUACCGUAGCUUGCUACACCAUAAACUGUGAGUUGCGAACGGGUGAGUAACGCGUAGGUAACCUGCCUGGUAGCGGGGGAUAACUAUUGGAAACGAUAGCUAAUACCGCAUAAUAUUGAUUAUUGCAUGAUAAUUGAUUGAAAGAUGCUAUUGCAUCACUACCAGAUGGACCUGCGUUGUAUUAGCCAGUAGGUGAGGUAACGGCUCACCUAGGCGACGAUACAUAGCCGACCUGAGAGGGUGAUCGGCCACACUGGGACUGAGACACGGCCCAGACUCCUACGGGAGGCAGCAGUAGGGAAUCUUCGGCAAUGGACGAAAGUCUGACCGAGCAACGCCGCGUGAGUGAAGAAGGUUUUCGGAUCGUAAAGCUCUGUUGUAAGAGAAGAACGGGUGUGAGAGUGGAAAGUUCACACUGUGACGGUAUCUUACCAGAAAGGGACGGCUAACUACGUG
RNAcentral lists this ribosomal RNA (505 nucleotides) under uncultured bacterium. RNAcentral's name for it is "partial 16S ribosomal RNA". It matches the Rfam family "Bacterial small subunit ribosomal RNA", at positions 28 to 507 of the family's 1533-position model. The record is from RNAcentral.